UCCAGAACAGACAAGGCAGGGGUCAGGUAGUUGUUGGCUUUGUCAGGCAAGUGAGCUACCAGCUCAUAUAGUUCUCUUCCUUGCUCCGCAACAUAUUCAUAGCAUACAUCAAAGCUUUUGUUUCUUGCUGUAGAAUCAUGCAACGCUUUUACACAGAUGUCAGCAACAUCAGCACAGCUUAUGGCCUGAGUUAUCCUGUUUCCCUGAUCAAAUAUGAGGGCACGUUGGCCACCAGGUUCUUCCUUGAGGGGACCGGGACGGAUAAUUGUGUACCCAAGGCCUGAUCGUCUCAAUGAAUCUUCCCCAGCCCUUUUUGCCUUGAGAACCUGCUCCCUUCUGGUUGGUUCUAUACCAGAUCCUGUACAUGAAACCAAGAUGACGUCUGUCUCUUGCCCAGUAGGCAAGGCUUUAAUGUACUCCAAUAUGAGCUUAAAGCUUCUCAAGUCUUGCUGCUUUACACCAGCUGCAGGUCCUUCAACGGGUCUCUGUCUCCUG
This 495-nucleotide unclassified non-coding RNA is filed under the name Hevea brasiliensis (rubber tree). The record is from RNAcentral. Lineage: Eukaryota; Viridiplantae; Streptophyta; Magnoliopsida; Malpighiales; Euphorbiaceae.